RNAcentral lists this ribosomal RNA (251 nucleotides) under uncultured Gardnerella sp. Its description in RNAcentral is "partial 16S ribosomal RNA". It matches the Rfam family "Bacterial small subunit ribosomal RNA", at positions 107 to 354 of the family's 1533-position model. Lineage: Bacteria; Bacillati; Actinomycetota; Actinomycetes; Bifidobacteriales; Bifidobacteriaceae. The record is from RNAcentral.
GGAGUAAUGCGUGACCAACCUGCCCCACUGCUCCAGAAUAGCUCUUGGAAACGGGGUAGGUAAUGCUGGAUGCUCCAACUUGACGCAUGUCUUGUUGGGAAAGUGUUUAGUGGCAUGGGAUGGGGUCGCGUCCUAUCAGCUUGUAGGCGGGGUAAUGGCCCACCUAGGCUUCGACGGGUAGCCGGCCUGAGAGGGCGGACGGCCACAUUGGGACUGAGAUACGGCCCAGACUCCUACGGGAGGCAGCAGGC